Molecule: ribosomal RNA, 484 nt
Filed under: uncultured bacterium
Lineage: Bacteria
Description: partial 16S ribosomal RNA
Rfam family: Bacterial small subunit ribosomal RNA
Source: RNAcentral
GACGAACGCUGGCGGCGUGCUUAACACAUGCAAGUCGAACGAUGAAGCCGGAGCUUGCUCUGGUGAAUUAGUGGCGAACGGGUGAGUAACACGUGAGUAACCUGCCCUUGACUCCGGGAUAACUGCGGGAAACUGUAGCUAAUACCGGAUACGACCCUCGGAGGCAUCUCCUGGGGGUGGAAAGAACUUCGGUCAAGGAUGGACUCGCGGACUAUCAGCUAGUUGGUGAGUUAAAGGCUCACUAAGGCGACGACGGGUAGCCGGCCUGAGCGGGUGACCGGCCACACUGGGACUGAGACAAGGCCCAGACUCCUACGGGAGGCAGCAGUGGGGAAUAUUGCACAAUGGGCGCAAGCCUGAUGCAGCAACGCCGCGUGAGGGAUGACGGCCUUCGGGUUGUAAACCUCUUUUAGCAGGGAAGAAGCGAAAGUGACGGUACCUGCAGAAAAAGCACCGGCUAACUACGUGCCAGCAGCCGCCGUAA